AGGGUGGUGGGCAGACUUGGGAUUGGGGAACGGGUCAAACUCGUACGGGAGGCUGCUGUGUGGAUUAUUGCGCAAGAGGGGAAAGACUGGUGCAGCAACGCUGGGCGGUGGAUGAAGUCCUUCGGGUCGUAAAGCUCUGUCCUCAAGGAAGAGAAUGACGUUACUUGAGGAGGAAGCCCCGGUUAACUACGUGCCAGCAGCCGCGGUAAUACGUAGGGGGCUAGCGUUAUCCGGAUUUAGUGGGCGUAAAGGGUGCGUAGGCGGUCUUUCAAGUCAGGAGUGAACGGCUACGGCUCAACCGUAGUAAGCCCGUGAAACUGGGAGACUUGAGUGCAGGGGCGGAGAGUGGAAUUCCUAGUGUCGCGGUGAAAUGCGUAGAUAAUAGGAGGAACACCAGUUGCGAAGGCGGCUCGCUGGACUUGAAAGGGAGCGGAGAGAGCGAUGACGGGGGGGCACACAGGGUUAGUUACCCUGG
RNAcentral lists this ribosomal RNA (475 nucleotides) under Clostridioides difficile. RNAcentral's name for it is "bacterial SSU rRNA". It matches the Rfam family "Bacterial small subunit ribosomal RNA", at positions 297 to 790 of the family's 1533-position model. The record is from RNAcentral. Lineage: Bacteria; Bacillati; Bacillota; Clostridia; Peptostreptococcales; Peptostreptococcaceae.